Serinus canaria (Common canary) is the source of this 4178-nucleotide long non-coding RNA. RefSeq lists it as uncharacterized. The record is from RefSeq and is a predicted model, not a curated record. The transcript has 3 exons. Lineage: Eukaryota; Metazoa; Chordata; Aves; Passeriformes; Fringillidae.
AGAUUAGGCACUCAACAAGAAAGAAACUCCCAUCUGCAUACUAGCUUCAGAAAUGGCAAACCUGGAAUUUCAGACUUCAGCAGCAGUGAAACUCUGAUGGAAGAUAUGGAUCCAAUUUCCAUGUAGGAAACAUUGUGCUGGAGGAUACCCUCCUCCCACCUCCCACCAGGACUUGUUAACAGCAAGUGAAGAUGCAGCAGGACACAGAAACUAAGCUGAUUUUUUCAGCUCUUUUCCCCCUGGAUCCUAACCCAAGAAAUGCUUAGGAAGCCCCUGAUCUGGCCCCUGGCACAAGACUAUAAUUUUCCUGCUGAGGAAGCACAAACAUUUCAAUGUUCCCCAUUCCUCUUUGGGAACUUCUGUGCUGGCACUGUGACGAACUCCCUGACCUCUGUGGAGGGACUCACAGCCUCCACUGACAUGGAUUAUGAGAAACUGAUGCCACAUGUGGCAGCAACAAUGGCACAACCUGAAAAGAAAUUCACAGGUUCUCAAACGUAAUGUAACUGAGCAAAGCUGCAAGUAAUUCCAUGGCUCGGGCUCUCUAAAUGUCAGCUGUGAAGACUCAUUUCUAUUUAGUCAAGACUCAUCCUCAAGUUUUAGUCUAUCUUUGACAUCAAACUUAAACAGCCUUUUCUUGGGGAACUCUUCAAUCUAGAGGCAGUACAGCUCUGGAGUGUGGGACAGGAUUGGAAAAGAUAUAAAAAAAUGCUUAGAUAAAUUUCUCCAUUUUCCAAAAACAUACAUUAUCAUUCCCAUGAAAGAACGAGAGAUUUGCAAAGGAUUCUGGGUGUUCUAGGUAUUUUUCCACUGAGUAAUUCCCAUGUAUGAGAAUCUUCCCUUGGAGCCACACUGGAGACAGAACUUGCUCUAAACUCAAAAUGAGGAAGCCCAGAAUUUUGUAUUUCCAAGGAGUUUGUACACACAGCUCCAGAAUGCAAGGCCUGGGGAAAACAGUGGCCAAUAGCCAUGCAGAGGUGUAUCUAGAGAAGUCCCUGUCACAUCAAGUCCCAGCUGGGGCAGAGACGCUGUCCCCAUCCAGCUGGGAAGAGUGGGGAUGACAAGCACAGCUACCAGCUUCUUUUAGCUAGUUAGCAGCAUGAAAUCUUAAGUAAUUUCUUAGAAAUGCCCAUAACUCUAAACUACUGCAUGGAGAUUGUCAGUUCAUGGCUUUAGGAAGGCCUGCAUGAGCUGUCUGUCCCAAAACCAUAGUAUUACAGGAUCAUGGUAUGGUUUAGGCUGACAUAGACCUUUCAGACCAUUAAGUCUAACUGUUGACCCAGUACUGCCAAAUCCACCACUAAACAAUAUCCCCAAGUGGCACUUACAGGUCUUUUAAAUACCUCCAAGGACAGUGACUCCAACACUUCCCCACAUAGCCUGAGCCAAUGCUUGACAACCUUCCAGUGAAGAAAUUUUUGCAAAUAUCCAUUUUAACUGCCCCAGUGGCAACCUGAGGCCACAACCUCAAUCUCCCCCAAGCCUUCUUUUCUCCAGGUUAAACAACCCCAGCUCCCUCAGCCACCCUGCUCCUCAGAAGAUUUGUGCUCCAAACCCUUUACCUCUAGCUUGUAUCCUCUCUGCUGGGUCGUAUUUCCAGCAGAUAUCUGGUCAGUUGAAGUCCCCCAUAGCAACAAGGGAAAGCAAGUAUGAGGCUGUUUAUAGAAGAUUUUCUUUGGCUCUUUUUCCUGGUUGGGAAUCUAAAGCAGACUCCCACCAUGAUAAUGGCCUUGUUGGCCUUCCUCCUGAUUCUGACCCAGAAACACUCAACCCUAUCCUCACAAUCAUUAAGCCCUAGACAAUCAAUAUACUCCAAACAUAGAGUAUAUUGAUAAUGGCCUUGUUGGCCUUCCCCCUGAUUCUGACCUAGAAACACUCAACCCUAUCCUCACCAUCAUUAAGCCCUAGACAAUCAAAAUACUCCAAACAUAGAAGGCUGCCCCAGUGCCUCCUCUUCCUUACCCAUCCCUUCUGAGGAAUUUAUAGCCAUCCAUUGCAGCAUUCCAGUUGUGUGACUCAUUCCACAAUGUUUCCAUGAUGCCAUGAAAGAGGGUAAAACAUGAAGGCUGUUUGUAUAUAAGACAGCAUUGUACACACACCAAAAAAACCCCAACUCACCACACAUUUUAAAACAGAAGCUAUAUAUUUGUUCUCCACUUGGCUUUAAGGUAGCAAUCCCUUAUCCAAGUGUAAGUGUAUUCUAAAGACGUAAUGUUCUCAUUUACUAUGCUUCUGAAAGAGUUCUCUGUAAGUUCCUUAAUAAAGGGUGCAGAUAAAUAUUCUUGUCAAGCUUACAGGCAGGAGCUGAAGAUCAUCUUUGACUCAACUUGGAUGUACCAGUCUGAACCCUAAAAAUUCUGGUUUCACCUUUUUUGUUCCUGUAGAAACUCUUGGUCUACCAGAGGCAGAUCCUUCAGGAAAGACAGAGCACUGAGAACUUUGGAGUCUCCCAAGUUGUAUCUCCUGACAAUUACCAUCCUGCACAAAGAGACUGCCAUCACAAGCUGUAUCUGCUAUGUUCUGCCAAAACUUUUAGCAGUGAUCUAAAGAUAUCUGAAUCUUUUUUUAAAACAAAUGAUGCAGUGCAACAGAACCUACACUCAAGCAGUAAGAGUAGCUCAUGUAACUGUGCUGAUGGUGACUUCUGAGUACCCUGGAUGCAAGCUGUAAGUUUGGACUGAGAACAUUUUGCUGGCACAAUAUUAAUGCUAAAAGGAACGCCCAUUGGGACAAAGUCAGUUUAAACAAAGCACAUUUUAAAUUCACAAGGGAGCCAGAUGUUGGAGCCAUUUGAGAAUCCAAGCCAAAAGCUGCCAGCAGUGGAGGAACUGCAUGAGGAUCCCUCAGCAGUAAGGUGAGCACUGGUUUGCUAUCAGACUCAACCCCAGAUUUCCCUCAUCAGACUUUUGCCAAUAUGCACAUUUUGUACAUGAUUUGGUCUGUGGAUUGCAAAUCUGCACUUCGGCUUCACAGAUGGUAGGUUUGGUCUUCUGGAUGGAAAUAUUACAACUUGUCUUGGAAAUUUUAGAUCUGGGCUUCUUUUCAAGAGAAUCUCAAGUGUAUGUUCUGUGCAGAAAUGCAUCUAUUUCAUCAACUAGCCAAGCUUACAAUAUUAAAACUCAGCUCCCGUCUUCCUUCUCUGGCAGAAUGUGGCACUGUUGACAUUCUGUCAAAUCCAAAUGUCCUGGGGUUGUAAAUGCAAACCACAGGAAUAGUGACUUGUUAUAAAUCUUUGUAGAGGUGAGGAAUUCAAAGCCACAAAUACAACUUUUCUAGUUAUGUACUAAAAUAAAACUACAUUUUAUGGGGAGAUAAUAUGUUUGAAACUACUUGUGAGGUUUCUAGUAGCAAUGCAAUCCUUAAUUCAUAUUUACAAAACUGCCAUCCUCAUUCUUGGUGAUUCAGUAGAUUGCAAACAUUUUUCUUAAAAAAAGGUAUUUCAAUAAACCUUAAGAUAUAUUUUAAUCAUUUGGAGGUAAAUUGAAUAAUUCUUCCAUGAAAAUGUACUACCUUGACAUGGAAUGAAAUGAAAAAAAAGACAAUUCUAGUUGAAACUUUAUGUUAGGACAUUGGACCUGAAAGUAUAUAAUUAAGUUAUUUUUCUUGCUCUUGCUCUUGCUGUUUUAUUGAGGAAAAGAGUUUCAAGCUAAUACUUCCAUACAGUUAAGGUUUCACAUUUGAUAAUUCAGUGAUUGCUAAGAGCUCUUUCUAAUAGACAGCAACAUGCUCACACUUCAACCUGCUGCCCAAGGUGAAGGGGGUUGGACCUUUAAAGGUCCCCUCCAACCCAAACUAUUCUAUAGUUUGUGAUUGUAAGACUAAUCUGUCACAGACUAGCCUAGACUGCAAAUUCCAGUAAAUACAAAGAAUACAGACAUCACAAUAAUUUUAAAGGAAAAUUGCACAUGCUGGAAAGGAACUAAAUAAUGAAACAGAUGAAGUACAUCAAAUUUGUUUAGGGAACAAAAUAAACAUUUCCUUGUGGGAAAGGAGGAAAAAAAUCUAGGAGAAAUGUUACUUGCAUUGUUCCUUUUAAUAAAAAACCCUCCAAUAAUCCUUCAAUAUUUUGUUAAGAUAUUCUUUCACAUUUCAGGUAUCACUUAUAACUGAAAAUUACAAUAAUUUAUUGUGACAUUAUACAUCCAUAUAUAUCUGUAUUUUAGUCUUUUUUCUCUAUA